GAUGAACGCUAGCGACAGGCUUAACACAUGCAAGUCGAGGGGCAGCGCAGCGGGGUAACUCGCGGGCGGCGACCGGCGCACGGGUGAGUAACGCGUAUCCAACCUGCCCACCACUUGGGGAUAACCUUGCGAAAGUAAGACUAAUACCCAAUGACGUCUCUAGAAGACAUCUGAAAGGGAUUAAAGAUUUAUCGGUGAUGGAUGGGGAUGCGUCUGAUUAGCUUGUUGGCGGGGUAACGGCCCACCAAGGCAACGAUCAGUAGGGGUUCUGAGAGGAAGGUCCCCCACAUUGGAACUGAGACACGGUCCAAACUCCUACGGGAGGCAGCAGUGAGGAAUAUUGGUCAAUGGGCGAGAGCCUGAACCAGCCAAGUAGCGUGCAGGACGACGGCCCUAUGGGUUGUAAACUGCUUUUAUAAGGGAAUAAAGUGAGUCUCGUGAGACUUUUUGCAUGUACCUUAUGAAUAAGGACCGGCUAAUUCCGUG
This 486-nucleotide ribosomal RNA is filed under the name uncultured bacterium. RNAcentral describes it as "bacterial SSU rRNA". It matches the Rfam family "Bacterial small subunit ribosomal RNA", at positions 28 to 507 of the family's 1533-position model. The record is from RNAcentral.